RNAcentral lists this ribosomal RNA (253 nucleotides) under uncultured bacterium. Its description in RNAcentral is "partial 16S ribosomal RNA". It matches the Rfam family "Bacterial small subunit ribosomal RNA", at positions 524 to 776 of the family's 1533-position model. The record is from RNAcentral.
UACGAAGGGGGCUAGCGUUGCUCGGAAUCACUGGGCGUAAAGCGCACGUAGGCGGGUUGCUAAGUCAGGGGUGAAAUCCUGGGGCUCAACCUCAGAAUUGCCUCCGAUACUGGCAGUCUCGAGUGCGGGAGAGGUGAGUGGAAUUCCCAGUGUAGAGGUGAAAUUCGUAGAUAUUGGGAAGAACACCAGUGGCGAAGGCGGCUCACUGGCCCGUAACUGACGCUGAGGUGCGAAAGCGUGGGGAGCAAACAGG